CUGGCUGCAGCAAGUUGUGCAGAGGUGUUGCACGCUGAGAGAAAAGAAAGCACGUUAUAUGAUACAUUCUGAUGAAUUCCGGUAACGGUUGACAGAAGAGAAGAUAAGUGACCUGAUCCUUGCAGUUAAAUCCAUUUCUGCUGUGAUUUUCUCCGAACCAUAUUCAACUUGGAACAUUGUCCAGCUGCAUACCACCACAGGCCUGGAUUGGAUGUGCUCCAGGUUUCAACCCAACACCUGAGACUGCUGGAUCCGCUGCCUGCUUUGCACUGGAUUAAGAUAAGGUUUUUAUCCAAAGAAACACACGGCCAUUGAAUUUUACAAAGACUUGACUGACUGACUUAAAUUUCAAAUACUGAACUAAAGAAAGGAACUGAACAAUAAGAAAUAUGGACUAAAAGAAAACACACUACCUGAUUUACACGUUCUGUUGAAAAAAUGUUUACAAUAACAUUUUAUUUAAUUUUGUAUUAAACAGUCUGUUCAUUUUU
Xiphophorus hellerii (green swordtail) is the source of this 491-nucleotide long non-coding RNA. RefSeq lists it as uncharacterized. The transcript is spliced from 2 exons. The record is from RefSeq and is a predicted model, not a curated record. Lineage: Eukaryota; Metazoa; Chordata; Actinopteri; Cyprinodontiformes; Poeciliidae.